RNAcentral lists this small nucleolar RNA (86 nucleotides) under Mus musculus (house mouse). Its description in RNAcentral is "Small nucleolar RNA SNORA17". It matches the Rfam family "Small nucleolar RNA SNORA17". Rfam says of the family: snoRNA ACA 17 belongs to the H/ACA family of snoRNAs and is predicted to guide pseudouridylation of the 28S rRNA at positions U4659 and U4598. It shares the same host gene together with ACA43. The record is from Rfam by way of RNAcentral. Lineage: Eukaryota; Metazoa; Chordata; Mammalia; Rodentia; Muridae.
CCUGCCACUAGACGCAUUGCAGGCAUGGCUGCUGUGUCAUAUAUGCACCAGUAGGUGGCAGAGAGGAGUUCUGAGCUCUGAACAUC